AAAUAAUACAAUUAAAUUAUUUUAGUUUUAAUUAAUUGAUAAAAGUGAAUUUAAAUUAUAAAUUUAAUAAGUGAAAUUUUAAAUUUUGUAAAGAUUUAUAUUUGUUAAUGAUUUAAGAAAUUUUAAUUAUAGACUAGGAUUAGAUACCCUAUUAUUUAAUAUGUAAUUUUAAAAACUAAAUUAAUAUAAGAUAUGUUCUCGAAAAUUAAAGAUUUUGGCGGUAUUUUAGUCUAUUCAGAGGAACCUGUUCUAUGAUUGAUAGUCCACGAUUUAAUUUACUUAUUUUAUUAAUUUACAUAUCGUCGUAGUUUGAAUAUUUUAUUAGAAUUUUAAUAUUCAAGAUUUAUUAUAAUAAAAAAAAUCAGAUCAAGGUGUAGUUUAUAAAUAAGUAGAAAUGGGUUACUAUAAUUAAAAUUUAAGAUAAUUAUUUUUAAAGUAAUUUGAAUUAGGAUUUGAAAGUAAUUUUAAUUUAUUUAUUAAAAUGAUUUUAGCUCUAAAAU
RNAcentral lists this ribosomal RNA (500 nucleotides) under Chrysomela vigintipunctata (willow leaf beetle). RNAcentral's name for it is "partial 12S ribosomal RNA". Lineage: Eukaryota; Metazoa; Arthropoda; Insecta; Coleoptera; Chrysomelidae. The record is from RNAcentral.